CAUUAUCUGUAUUGAAUUGCAGUGCAUUUUCAUCAUCUGGUGCUACCUGCCGACGGAGUUCAACGGUUCACUGAUCAUCUACAACCGCAUUAUCCGUCCGUAUUAUCAGAAACAUCACAACCGCAUCGAUGAUAUCGCCAACUCAGGUAAACAAUUGUAGAGCUGUACAAUUCAUGUAUACAAAUCUUCUCGCCUGGUAGCGGAUGCAGUUCGGAAGACCAACUAAGCCUCCACUAUCUAUCAAAGUUGGGGAGUGAAAGUACAAAAUCUUUCUGCACUCGCUUAUGUAAGAGCUUUGCGGCACUCAUUGGUCUAAAUAUAAAAAUGUAUUACGGCGGUUGUUCACUGAUGCAAGUUAUCAUUCAAUAGCCUGUUUAACUGUGGACAAACCAAGGAAUAAGGAAUUUAAUUAUUGACCAUUAAACGUUUGUAUCACUUGAUGCAUAUUAACUAUAUUGCAUUUAAAUUUUGAAAGCAUUAUGGCCAUGGUAUUUGAUAAAUUGACCAAUGGUCAAAAUUAUAUUGCAUUUUCUUUGGUCUAUUUGACACACCGCAUCCACUGGUUGAAUGGUUAGUGACCAUUAAAAUCAUAGCCUGUAGAAA
Manduca sexta (tobacco hornworm) is the source of this 603-nucleotide long non-coding RNA. RefSeq lists it as uncharacterized. Lineage: Eukaryota; Metazoa; Arthropoda; Insecta; Lepidoptera; Sphingidae. The record is from RefSeq and is a predicted model, not a curated record. The transcript is spliced from 3 exons.